Molecule: long non-coding RNA, 2034 nt
Filed under: Homo sapiens (human)
Lineage: Eukaryota; Metazoa; Chordata; Mammalia; Primates; Hominidae
Description: HSALNT0134352
Source: RNAcentral
GCCCAGCCAGCUCUGCCUCUCCUCUCUGCCGAUGCUCCUGACGCAGACAACUGCAGUGACUACGCCCUUCCUCAGCCCCCACACUCCUCAAAAAGUGCUUUUCUGGGUUUCCACGACUGCCUCCCUUCCUCCCCAAAACGAUUCUCCAUCCGAGGAAUAUUUGAAACAGCUGCUGCCCGUCCUAAUGUGCCAGGGCUGAGAUUGCUGCUGGAACUUCCCAGGGCUGCUGCAGUAACCCCGCCCCACUCCUGGGAAGAAGAUUCUAGGCAAGUGACCGCUUCCACCCUCUUUAUGGCCCUGGUCUGGGGUCAGAAAGGAAGAGGACUGAGGAAAAUAUAGGUAAAGGCUGUCCUUGCAUUGUGAAUGUCCAGCCCAGGGGAAUACUUGGCACAUGGUAAAUGCUCGAAUAUAUUGUAUGAAUGAAUGAAGAUAAUGAAUGAAUGAAUGAAUGAAUGAAUGAAUGAAUGAAGAUAAAAAGGGAAUAGGAUCCAGUUCCUGGGAUGCCCCAGCUCAAGCUGCUGCUCCAACAGGACAGUCCUACACUACAGGUUUUGAUCCAGGCCAAAAGGGGUACGAUUGAUUCUGCAGUGCUCAGAUUCUGGAUGCAGUAUGAGGGGACAUCGUUCCUCUGCAGAUGUUACGGCUGCUGAAAUGAGGAAGAAGGAAAGGAAAGGAAAGGAAGAAAAGAAGGAAGAAAGAAAAGUCAGGAACCUGUUGAGGUUGUAACGACAAGGAAAUAUUCAAGAGGAAGCCUUUCAGAACCUUCAUACACUUGGUGAGAAUGUAAAUUCGUACGACCACUAUGGAGAACACUUUGGAGCUUCUUCAAAAAACUAAAAAUAGAGCUACCAUAUGGGGCGAUCCAGCAAUGCUCCCACUGGGUAGAGACCUGAAAGAAAGGAAAUCAGUAGGACAAAGAGAUAGCUGCACUCCUGUGUUUGCUGCAGCACUGUUCACUAUAGCCAAGAUUUGGAAGCAACCUAAGUGUUUACCAAUAGAUGAAUGCAUAUAGAAAAUGUGGUACAAAUACACAAUGGAGUAUUAUUCAGCCAUAAAAAAGAAUGAGAUCCUGUCAUUUGCAACAACAUAGAUGGAGCUAGGGAUCAUUAAGCUAAGUGAAAUAAGCAAGGCAAAGAAAGACAAGCAUCACAUGUUCUCACUUAUUUGUGGGAUACAAAAAUCAAAACAAUUGAAUUCAUGAACAUAAAGAGUAGAAGGAAGGUUACCAGAGGCUGGGAAGAGUAGUAGCAGGUGAGGGUGAGGUGGGGAUGGUUAAUGUUAAUGGGUACAGAAAAAAAAUAGAAUGAAUAAGACUUACUAUGUGAUAGCACGACAGGUUGACUAUAGUAAUAACUUAAUUGCACAUUUUAAAAUAACCAAAAGAAUAUAAUUGGAUUUUUUGCAACACAAAGGAUAAAUGCUUGAGGGGGUGUAAUUCUCAUUCUCCAUAUGUAAUUAUUACACAUUGCAUGCCGGCAUCAAAGCAUUUCACUUACCCAGUAAAUAUAUACACCUACUAUGUAUCCACAAAAUUAAAAAUAAAAAUUUGUUUAAAGAAUCUUUAAAAAUAAUGGCAAUGACAUAAUCAAAAUACUUCAUAAAUAAUUUAAUAUUGAUUACAUGUGGAAAUACUAUUUUUUAUAUAUUUAGUUAAAUAAAAAAAAUUCCAACUUCAAAAAAAAAAAAAGAAAUCUUUCAUUGUAGGGAAAAGUAGAAACAAAUCCUGAGGAAGACAUAAUUUUAUUGUCAUCUCUGUGGAGAUGUUCACUGAGAGUCUUGAAAAUGAGAUGCUUUCUGGGUAGAAAGAGACCAGAAGGGUGUAUGAUCCCAAGGGCUAAGAGAGUUUUGAGAUAAAAAGAAAUAAUCAGGCUGGGCACAGUGGCUCACGACUGUAAUCCCAGCACUUUGGAAGGCUGAGGCAGGCAGAUCACAAGGUCAGGAGUUCGAGACCAGCCUGACCAACACGGUGAAACCCCAUCUCUACUAAAAAUACAAAAAUUAGCUGGGUUUGGUAGUAUCCGCCUGUAAUCCCAG